This 1013-nucleotide long non-coding RNA is filed under the name Felis catus (domestic cat). Its description in RNAcentral is "lncRNA (ENSFCAG00000050652.1)". Lineage: Eukaryota; Metazoa; Chordata; Mammalia; Carnivora; Felidae. The record is from RNAcentral.
GUUUAGGUGGCUCACGCAUGUGCCCUCUGAUUUGUGAGAGUAAACAGUAACUUCAAGUCAAAGGAAGGAUGGCCUUCUUGUCCCUGAGUGCUUGGUGCUUGGCCAGCCCUGGUAAGUGCAGUGAAGGAUAGACAUACCUUCAUUCUGAGUCAAACAUGAUUCCCAUAUGCACACUAUGCUUUAGGACCUGGUCCGAAUCAAAAGGGACCUUUCCAGAAACUAGGUCAUCAGGUCGAGGCUCCAAACACUUGAUCACCAGCUAGGUGUAGGAACCCCUUACCUCCAAAUCAAUGGUGCUUCUCUUUCCUGAGAGCAAGGACAGGAAAAACUACCAAAUCCAGCAUUUCCUGUUUCUCAAUGAACAAUGCAGACCUCCUGCAGAAUUUCACUCGUGGGUGUCGCCAAUGGAGACUUCCUUGUACACUAGCCCUCAGGUCUUUUUUACUCCCCAGACAGCAUUCCUGCCAGGAGAUAGGAGUAGGCACUGCUUUCUAACUUUAGCCCAUUCUCUUCUGUAAUGAAGACCUUUGGUGCUCAGGUUGCCUAUUGGCUUUGUAUUGCUCUUGUUUUCAAGGUACUUUCGACCUGGGAGCCAUUGAGAGCACGAGCCUCUGAAGAAUGUACUCUGUUUGAACUAGAAUAUUGCAGGAUCCAUGGGUCUGUGUCAGGUACACAGCCCAGGUGCAAACAUUGGUGUGGAGUUCCCAGUCAGUUCCUGAGCCUAUUGACAGCACUCAGUGUCUGGUAUCCCAGAGUUCACUUCUCCCAGCCCUCGUUUGCAAGAUGAACGUGCUCUCACAUGUGUACCCUCAGAUGAAAUGGAUAAGCAUGAUAUGAUGUGGGGAAGAAAGCCAAGGAUAACCUAAAAUGAGGAUGCUCUGAGUCAAGAUCCUGGCCAGUGUACACUAGGCCUGGAAGAAAUGCAGAGGUUGGUACUAGAGCUGAGUGGCCUUGUCUAUUCAACUAUCAUUAGGGUUACAUGGGUUUAAAAUAAAUACUUCUUGCCCUGAGCA